This 468-nucleotide ribosomal RNA is filed under the name uncultured bacterium. Its description in RNAcentral is "partial 16S ribosomal RNA". It matches the Rfam family "Bacterial small subunit ribosomal RNA", at positions 28 to 507 of the family's 1533-position model. The record is from RNAcentral.
GACGAACGCUGGCGGCGGGCUUAACACAUGCAAGUCGAACGGAAAGGCCCUGCGUUUGUGGGGUUCUGGAGGGGCGAACGGGGGAGUAACACGUGAGUAACCUGCUCUUCACUUUGGGAUAACUUCAGGAAACUGGGGCUAAUACCAUAUAGCAGCUCCUGCUGCAGUGAGGGGGUUGGAAAUUUUCGGCGGGUGGGGAUGGAUGCGCGGCUUAUGAGCUUGCUGGUUGGCGAGCGGCUGGCCAAGGCUUUGACGGGUCGCCCGCCUGGGAGGGUGAACGGCCACAUGGGGACUGAGAGAGGGCGCAGUCGCGUACGGGAGGCAGUAGUGGGGAAUCUUGCCCAGUGGGCGGAAGCCGGAUGAGGAAGCGCCGCGUGCGGGAUGACGGCCUUUGGGUUGUAAACAGCAUCAGCCUGAGACGCAGCGUGAGUGACGGUACUGAGUAAAGAAGCACCGGCUAACUACGUG